CAGCAGCCGCGGUAAUACGUAGGUGGCAAGCGUUGUCCGGAAUUAUUGGGCGUAAAGGGCUCGCAGGCGGUUUCUUAAGUCUGAUGUGAAAGCCCCCGGCUCAACCGGGGAGGGUCAUCGGAAACUGGGAAACUUGAGUGCAGAAGAGGAGAGUGGAAUUCCACGUGUAGCGGUGAAAUGCGUAGAGAUGUGGAGGAACACCAGUGGCGAAGGCGACUCUCUGGUCUGUAACUGACGCUAAGGAGCGGAAGCGUGGGGAGCGAACAGGAUUAGAUACCCGCGUAGUCCCUGUCUCUUAUAC
RNAcentral lists this ribosomal RNA (301 nucleotides) under uncultured bacterium. RNAcentral describes it as "partial 16S ribosomal RNA". It matches the Rfam family "Bacterial small subunit ribosomal RNA", at positions 509 to 807 of the family's 1533-position model. The record is from RNAcentral.